GACGAACGCUGGCGGCGUGCUUAACACAUGCAAGUCGAACGGAAAGGCCCUGCUUUUGUGGGGUGCUCGAGUGGCGAACGGGUGAGUAACACGUGAGUAACCUGCCCUUGACUUUGGGAUAACUUCAGGAAACUGGGGCUAAUACCGGAUAGGAGCUCCUGCUGCAUGGUGGGGGUUGGAAAGUUUCGGCGGUUGGGGAUGGACUCGCGGCUUAUCAGCUUGUUGGUGGGGUAGUGGCUUACCAAGGCUUUGACGGGUAGCCGGCCUGAGAGGGUGACCGGCCACAUUGGGACUGAGAUACGGCCCAGACUCCUACGGGAGGGAGCAGUGGGGAAUAUUGCACAAUGGGCGGAAGCCUGAUGCAGCAACGCCGCGUGCGGGAUGACGGCCUUCGGGUUGUAAACCGCUUUCGCCUGGGACGAAGCGUGAGUGACGGUAAUGGGUAAAGAAGCCCCGGCUAACUACGUG
Molecule: ribosomal RNA, 468 nt
Filed under: uncultured bacterium
Lineage: Bacteria
Description: partial 16S ribosomal RNA
Rfam family: Bacterial small subunit ribosomal RNA
Source: RNAcentral